Molecule: ribosomal RNA, 497 nt
Filed under: uncultured bacterium
Lineage: Bacteria
Description: partial 16S ribosomal RNA
Rfam family: Bacterial small subunit ribosomal RNA
Source: RNAcentral
GAUGAACGCUGGCGGCGUGCCUAAUACAUGCAAGUCGAGCGAACGGACGAGAAGCCUGCUUCUCUGGUGUUAGCGGCGGACGGGUGAGUAACACGUGGAUAACCUACCUAUAAGACUGGGAUAACUUCGGGAAACCGGAGCUAAUACCGGAUAAUAUUUUGAACCGCAUGGUUCAAAAGUGAAAGACGGUCUUGCUGUCACUUAUAGAUGGAUCCGCGCUGCAUUAGCUAGUUGGUAAGGUAACGGCUUACCAAGGCAACGAUGCAUAGCCGACCUGAGAGGGUGAUCGGCCACACUGGAACUGAGACACGGUCCAGACUCCUACGGGAGGCAGCAGUAGGGAAUCUUCCGCAAUGGGCGAAAGCCUGACGGAGCAACGCCGCGUGAGUGAUGAAGGUCUUCGGAUCGUAAAACUCUGUUAUUAGGGAAGAACAUAUGUGUAAGUAACUGUGCACAUCUUGACGGUACCUAAUCAGAAAGCCACGGCUAACUACGUG